RNAcentral lists this ribosomal RNA (246 nucleotides) under Triticum aestivum (bread wheat). RNAcentral describes it as "partial small subunit ribosomal RNA". The record is from RNAcentral. Lineage: Eukaryota; Viridiplantae; Streptophyta; Magnoliopsida; Poales; Poaceae.
CUGCUUCUACUUUCUGUAUGGAGCUGGGAGCGUCUGCCUGUUGGACGCCCGAAGAGCGUCAAGUUUAAUCCUUGGGAUGAAGAUGACGAAUUACAGCGCCCCACUUGGGCUUACAAGUGGGAUGUGGUUUCUGAGAUGACAAAUGAUGUCAAUCUCAUGUACCAAAAGUACAUUGCCGAGUUGGACACAAUUACGCCUGAGCAGGUAACGAGGACAUUACUUCAAUUAUUUCUCAUGCUUACCUGA